UAUAUACAUUCCUUUAUUAUGUCAGCCUUUAUUGAUUCCACUGGGAGGCUAUUCCUGUUAUAUACUACCUUUUCAGUCAAAGGGAGUUUUCCACAUUUUUACCUCACUCUUCCAUCUUUCAACUUAAAUUAAGGAUGUAAGGAUGACAAACACAUUCAAACUAUAAAGAUUACUCAAAUUGCUUAGCCAUGGUUUAUGUAUUAAUUUUUCAGGUUUACUUUACUUUGCUAGACAACCAUCACAUCAUUUAAAUUGUAAUUUAAGACAAAGUUAGGCAAAGAGAAGACACUCAACAAUUGUAGAACCACAGCCCCCACGCCAGCCCUCAAGGCUGACAAAGCAUCAUGGGAGAUGUAAUUCUACUUCAACUGAGAAUCUAAGUGUAAUAUCUCCCUGUAAAAAAGGCCUUAAAAACGCUAGUUACCUGAGGUGCUUGCACAUAAGCAAACAAUAUUGCCUUUAAUGCUUAAAGGGCACUUGCAAACUCUUAUUUGCACAGUACCCAUCUUUUAAAGUUAUCUGACUACCAAUACGCAGGAUAUUUAAUAUAUGUUUAUGUAUCCCUAUAUUUAACAAAGAUGUGUUGAAGACCCCUGAAAACAAAUGUAGAAAUCCUCAUCUUUUUAUCCCGCAACUGGGUGCCUCCAUCUUGGCUACCUGACAAUCAUUGUUAUAAGUGCUGUACUUUACACCUGGCAGUCAACAUGUUUUGAUUUCUCCAACUCAUUUUCAAUGGUGCCUUGGUUAUGCCUGGACUCUACUGGAUUGUAAUAUAAUUUGCUAAAUUUUUAAUAGAAAUUUUGAAGGAAAGGAAGCAUUGCAUUAAAACAGGGUUGACACAAGUUAUAGGUGACUUUCUAUGUUUUAUCCAGUGGUAUCGUAACCAUUCCCCGUUAACACGUACCACAAAAAUGUAUGCAAAGGGUCUCUUGGUAAACUGGAAAACAAAUGCUAGUACUACUGUAAAUGUUAUCUAGUAAUAGCUGCAUAGUAGUACAGGCUACAAAAAAAGUCAAUCGAGCCUUAAACGCACAUUUGCAUCUGCUACUGACCUUAAAAAGGCAAAAGAAAACGUUUAAUGGGAGUUUUAAUAGUGCCACAAAAUGGGGGAAAAAUCCUUGAUUACUCAAAAAUGGCAAUCCGAUUUUUGUUCAAUCAACAAACUGAUUAUACACAAAAGGAGUAUAUGCUUGAUUUUGUCACACUGUGAAUUACAUUUUUAAACAAAAAACAUUUGCACAAUCAAUCAACCUUUUUGUUUUGUUUGAGGAAAUCUCGGCAGUGACUUAAGAAAUGUGGGUUUCGUUUUUACAAUAAAUGUCAAGGCUUCUCUGUGCCAAAUAAACGGAUCAGGUGUCGACAAAAUGGGUGCCAGAAUGAUAAUAAACUCCAUUAUCUAGAGACGGCUGUGGACUGGCUGUUGAUACUGUGAGUUGUAUUUCAUUAAUUAAUUCAUGCAAAAAGACAAGUUGGCUACCCUUGAUUAAAUCAUGAAUUUCUCUAUGGGGAACCCAGUUUUGAAUACGUUUGUAUUUUUGGAUCAAAGGGACGUCGUUCUAUAUUGUUUUAAAAUAGCGUAUUGCGACAUAUACGGGUAGGAGUACCUGGAAUGUCGGUGGUGACUUUACGUAACAUUUGCACUUUUUGAUUGUAUUGAAUUAUGCUUAAUAUGUAUUUAUUUUAAUCUGUAUUUUUGAUUAACACUGUAAUUGCUUUUAAUUUAACUGGGCUGUGACUCCUAUUUGACCGAACAAGCGCUGAACACAUUCACGCGUACGCACACAGUGAUGUCUUUGGACUAAAUUCUGUUACAAAAAAGGCAAGCUUUUUUCUUGUAAUUGAAUAGCAUUUGUUCCAUAGAAGGCAAUAGGACGACUGUUAUUACACCACAGAUCUAAUAGAAUCCAGCACCAUAUGAGAAGUAUUAGACAUAGGUUUAUCUAUGUGUUUUAAUAAAUUUAACACAUUUUUAGUUAGAAAUACUGAAAAUAUGUUUUAUUUGACAAAUAACUGAAAUAUAAAAUUAUUCUUUUAUGACUCACAUAAACAUAAUGGUGAAUGUUAAUUAUUUCUCUAAUUUGUUUUUAUCAUUGAAUUAUUCUUUAUUACUCGUGACUAAGUUUAUUCAGUAGGUUAUAUAAAUUAUAGAAACUCUAUUUGCCAUGGUGUUUCAUACAGUGAGGCUGUAUGACAAAUAUAUUUGAAAUGUACUAAUUUGCCUGACUGUGCCAGGAAAUGGGGAUAAUGCAUUGUUUAGCAUGGAAGGUCUCAUGAACCCGUAAUUUAAAGAAUGUCCAGAGGAGGGUGCUAUUAGGAGUGGAACGUCAGCUCUGUCAAUGCACUGAUGUUACUGUGAAAAUUACUUUGUGAUUAUGAUAUUUCUUUGUAUAAAUAGAGUAAUUAAGGAGAGUAUGCUCACUGAAUGCAUUAGGAACGAUGACAAGGGGAAUAAUUAAGAAUGUAAACAAUAAAAUAAUGGACUAUUAUUUGUGUCGUUUUUUUUUUCUAUAAAAUGUUGCUGAAUAGUUAGUGGCGUCUGUUUUUGUGUGACUUGUUCAGUAUAUCAUUAUUACAAUAUUGGGAUCUUAAAGGGACACUCCAAGUACUAAAAGUGCAAAAAUGCAUCAUGCAUAAAAUUGUCUCAUUUUAUUACAGCGCAGCGGAAUUUGUUGGCGCUUUAUAAAUAACAAUCGCUUUUUAACUCCGAAAACUUCUUAUAAGCCUUUCU
This is a non-coding RNA of Pelobates cultripes (western spadefoot toad), 2728 nucleotides long. The record is from the annotation of a GenBank genome assembly. NCBI's taxonomy places the organism in Eukaryota, Metazoa, Chordata, Amphibia, Anura, Pelobatidae.